CAGUAGCCGCGGGAAUACGUAGGUGGCAAGCGUUGUCCGGAAUUAUUGGGCGUAAAGGGCUCGCAGGCUGUUUCUUAAGUCUGAUGUGAAAGCCCCCGGCUCAACCGGGGAGGGUCAUUGGAAACUGGGAAACUUGAGUGCAGAAGAGGAGAGUGGAAUUCCACGUGUAGCGGUGAAAUGCGUAGAGAUGUGGAGGAACACCAGUGGCGAAGGCGACUCUCUGGUCUGUAACUGACGCUGAGGAGCGAAAGCGUGGGGAGCGAACAGGAUUAGAUACCCCCGUAGUCCCUGUCUCUUAUAC
Molecule: ribosomal RNA, 301 nt
Filed under: uncultured bacterium
Lineage: Bacteria
Description: partial 16S ribosomal RNA
Rfam family: Bacterial small subunit ribosomal RNA
Source: RNAcentral